RNAcentral lists this unclassified non-coding RNA (279 nucleotides) under plant metagenome. Its description in RNAcentral is "partial contains small subunit ribosomal RNA, internal transcribed spacer 1, and 5.8S ribosomal RNA". The record is from RNAcentral.
UCUCCGUUGGUGAACCAGCGGAGGGAUCAUUACAGGACUCACAAGGCUCCUACAACCCUGUGAACUUAACUAUUAGCACCUUGCUUCGGCGGCUGUCCCGGAGAGAGUACUCCCUCCCCGAGACGCUACACCCACCGGCAGACUACUAUACCCUGUCUCUUUGCAUUGGCAUAUAGAGCACAAUCAAACAAGAUAAAACUUUUAACAACGGCUCUCGUGGUUAUGGCAUCGAUGCAGAAGCGCGCAGAUCGGAAGACCACACCUCUACACUCCAGUCAC